CCUACGGGUGGCAGCAGUGGGGAAUAUUGCGCAAUGGACGAAAGUCUGACGCAGCGACGCCUCGUGAGGGACGAAGGUCUUCGGAUUGUAAACCUCUUUCAGCAGGGACGAAGCGAAAGUGACGGUACCUGCAGAAGAAGCACCGGCUAACUAUGUGCCAGCAGCCGCGGUAAUACAUAGGGUGCAAGCGUUGUCCGGAUUUAUUGGGCGUAAAGAGUUCGUAGGCGGUUUCUCGCGUCGGAUGUGAAAACUCAGGGCUCAACCCUGAGCCUGCAUUCGAUACGGAGAAACUUGAGGACGGCAGGGGAGACUGGAACUCCUGGUGUAGCGGUGGAAUGCGCAGAUAUCAGGAAGAACACCAAUGGCGAAGGCAGGUCUCUGGGCCGAUUCUGACGCUGAGGAACGAAAGCGUGGGGAGCAAACAGGAUUAGAUACCCUUGUAGUC
Molecule: ribosomal RNA, 445 nt
Filed under: uncultured bacterium
Lineage: Bacteria
Description: bacterial SSU rRNA
Rfam family: Bacterial small subunit ribosomal RNA
Source: RNAcentral